Molecule: ribosomal RNA, 1346 nt
Filed under: uncultured bacterium
Lineage: Bacteria
Description: bacterial SSU rRNA
Rfam family: Bacterial small subunit ribosomal RNA
Source: RNAcentral
GACGAACGCUGGCGGCGUGCUUAACACAUGCAAGUCGAACGGAAAGGCCCUGCUUUUGUGGGGUGCUCGAGUGGCGAACGGGUGAGUAACACGUGAGUAACCUGCCCUUGACUUUGGGAUAACUUCAGGAAACUGGGGCUAAUACCGGAUAGGAGCUCCUGCUGCAUGGUGGGGGUUGGAAAGUUUCGGCGGUUGGGGAUGGACUCGCGGCUUAUCAGCUUGUUGGUGGGGUAGUGGCUUACCAAGGCUUUGACGGGUAGCCGGCCUGAGAGGGUGACCGGCCACAUUGGGACUGAGAUACGGCCCAGACUCCUACGGGAGGCAGCAGUGGGGAAUAUUGCACAAUGGGCGGAAGCCUGAUGCAGCAACGCCGCGUGCGGGAUGACGGCCUUCGGGUUGUAAACCGCUUUCGCCUGUGACGAAGCGUGAGUGACGGUAAUGGGUAAAGAAGCACCGGCUAACUACGUGCCAGCAGCCGCGGUGAUACGUAGGGCGCGAGCGUUGUCCGGAUUUAUUGGGCGUAAAGGGCUCGUGGGUGGUCGAUCGCGUCGGAAGUGUAAUCUUGGGGCUUAACCCUGAGCGUGCUUUCGAUACGGGUUGACUUGAGGAAGGUAGGGGAGAAUGGAAUUCCUGGUGGAGCGGUGGAAUGCGCAGAUAUCAGGAGGAACACCAGUGGCGAAGGCGGUUCUCUGGGCCUUUCCUGACGCUGAGGAGCGAAAGCGUGGGGAGCGAACAGGCUUAGAUACCCUGGUAGUCCACGCUGUAAACGGUGGGUACUAGGUGUGGGGUCCAUUCCACGGGUUCCGUGCCGUAGCUAACGCUUUAAGUACCCCGCCUGGGGAGUACGGCCGCAAGGCUAAAACUCAAAGGAAUUGACGGGGCCCCGCACAAGCGGCGGAGCAUGCGGAUUAAUUCGAUGCAACGCGUAGAACCUUACCUGGGUUUGACAUGGAUCGGGAGCGCUCAGAGAUGGGUGUGCCUCUUUUGGGGUCGGUUCACAGGUGGUGCAUGGCUGUCGUCAGCUCGUGUCGUGAGAUGUUGGGUUAAGUCCCGCAACGAGCGCAACCCUUGUUCACUGUUGCCAGCACGUUAUGGUGGGGACUCAGUGGAGACCGCCGGGGUCAACUCGGAGGAAGGUGGGGAUGACGUCAAGUCAUCAUGCCCCUUAUGUCCAGGGCUUCACGCAUGCUACAAUGGCUGGUACAGAGAGUGGCGAGCCUGUGAGGGUGAGCGAAUCUCGGAAAGCCGGUCUCAGUUCGGAUUGGGGUCUGCAACUCGACCUCAUGAAGUCGGAGUCGCUAGUAAUCGCAGAUCAGCAACGCUGCGGUGAAUACGUUCCCGGGGCU